This 406-nucleotide ribosomal RNA is filed under the name uncultured bacterium. Its description in RNAcentral is "partial 16S ribosomal RNA". It matches the Rfam family "Bacterial small subunit ribosomal RNA", at positions 30 to 526 of the family's 1533-position model. The record is from RNAcentral.
AUUGAACGCUGGCGGCAGGCCUAACACAUGAAAGUCGAACGAGUGGCGGACGGGUGAGUAAUGUCUGGGAAACUGCCUGAUGGAGGGGGAUAACUACUGGAAACGGUAGCUAAUACCGCAUACCAUCGGAUGUGCCCAGAUGGGAUUAGCUAGUAGGUGUGGUAACGGCUCACCUAGGCGACGAUCCCUAGCUGGUCUGAGAGGAUGACCAGCCAAACUGGAACUGAGAAACGGUCCAGACGCUUACGGGAGGCAGCCGUGGGGAAUAUUGCACAAUGGGCGAAGGCCUGAUGCAGCCAUGCCGCGUGUAUGAAGAAGGCCUUCGGGUUGUAAAGUACUGUCAGCGGGGAGGCGUUACCCGCAGAAGAAGCACCGGCUAACUCCGUGCCAGCAGCCGCGGUAAUAC